RNAcentral lists this ribosomal RNA (474 nucleotides) under uncultured organism. RNAcentral describes it as "partial 16S ribosomal RNA". It matches the Rfam family "Bacterial small subunit ribosomal RNA", at positions 331 to 797 of the family's 1533-position model. The record is from RNAcentral.
GUACACUCCUGCGGGAGGCAGCAGUGGGGAAUUUUGGACAAUGGGGGCAACCCUGAUCCAGCAAUGCCGCGUGAGUGAAGAAGGCCUUCGGGUUGUAAAGCUCUUUUGUCAGGGAAGAAACGGUGGUGGCGAAUAACUACUACUAAUGACGGUACCUGAAGAAUAAGAACCGGCUAACUACGUGCCAGCAGCCGCGGUAAUACGUAGGGUGCAAGCGUUAAUCGGAAUUACUGGGCGUAAAGCGUGCGCAGGCGGUUGUGUAAGUCAGAUGUGAAAUCCCCGGGCUCAACCUGGGAAUUGCAUUUGAGACUGCACGGCUAGAGUGUGUCAGAGGGGGGUAGAAUUCCACGUGUAGCAGUGAAAUGCGUAGAUAUGUGGAGGAAUACCGAUGGCGAAGGCAGCCCCCUGGGAUAACACUGACGCUCAUGCACGAAAGCGUGGGGAGCAAACAGGAUUAGAUACCCGUGUAGUCCC